RNAcentral lists this transfer RNA (82 nucleotides) under Cryptomonas sp. SAG 977-2f. RNAcentral describes it as "tRNA-Leu". It matches the Rfam family "tRNA". From Rfam's summary of the family: Transfer RNA (tRNA) molecules are approximately 80 nucleotides in length. Their secondary structure includes four short double-helical elements and three loops (D, anti-codon, and T loops). Further hydrogen bonds mediate the characteristic L-shaped molecular structure. tRNAs have two regions of fundamental functional importance: the anti-codon, which is responsible for specific mRNA codon recognition, and the 3' end, to which the tRNAs corresponding amino acid is attached (by aminoacyl-tRNA synthetases). tRNAs cope with the degeneracy of the genetic code in two manners: having more than one tRNA (with a specific anti-codon) for a particular amino acid; and 'wobble' base-pairing, i.e. permitting non-standard base-pairing at the 3rd anti-codon position. Lineage: Eukaryota; Cryptophyceae; Cryptomonadales; Cryptomonadaceae. The record is from RNAcentral.
GCGGACGUGGCGGAAUUGGUAGACGCGCUAGAUUUAGGUUCUAGUAGGAUCUUCUGUGAGAGUUCGAGUCUCUCCAUCCGCA